UACAUGGUUCACCUCCCUUGUAGGCAGAUGAGUCUCAAGUCUAUGGUGUAGAGACAUUGGGGUAAAGGUGCAAGUGGUUGUUAGAGAAUAACUUGCACUGAGUGUGACCAACACGAGAACCACAUGGAUGUCUACUCACUCGUCAGUGAUCUUCUCGAUGCUGCAGUAGUGUGAGUGGUCCUUCGACCUGUGGUGUCAUUGGCUAUUCGCAGUGAGGCUACUGGGUUUGACUGUAUAUUUUUUUGGUCCCUAGCCAUUCAGAUCCUUGCUGUGUAUGUUGGCUUCAGUAGGUUUAGGUUUGCUGUUUGGAGUAGGAUGCACCU
This 323-nucleotide long non-coding RNA is filed under the name Elaeis guineensis (African oil palm). RNAcentral describes it as "long non-coding RNA (EGUI_LNC061368)". The record is from RNAcentral. Lineage: Eukaryota; Viridiplantae; Streptophyta; Magnoliopsida; Arecales; Arecaceae.